RNAcentral lists this ribosomal RNA (381 nucleotides) under uncultured Leptolinea sp. Its description in RNAcentral is "bacterial SSU rRNA". It matches the Rfam family "Bacterial small subunit ribosomal RNA", at positions 986 to 1384 of the family's 1533-position model. Lineage: Bacteria; Bacillati; Chloroflexota; Anaerolineae; Anaerolineales; Anaerolineaceae. The record is from RNAcentral.
AUGCAAGUGGUAGGAAGCCGAAAGGUGACCGACCUUCGGGAGCUGCACAGGUGCUGCAUGGCUGUCGUCAGCUCGUGUCGUGAGAUGUUCGGUUAAGUCCGCUAACGAGCGCAACCCUCGCUGUGUGUUAUAUGUGUCACACGGGACUGCCGGUCUUAAGCCGGAGGAAGGUGGGAUGAUGUCAAGUCAGCAUGGCCUUUAUAUCCUGGGCUACACACACGCUACAAUGGCCAACACAAUAGGUUGCUAAGCCGCGAGGUGGCGCCAAUCCAUAAAGUUGGUCUCAGUUCAGAUUGUAGGCUGCAACCCGCCUGCAUGAAGAUGGAGUUGCUAGUAACCGCAGGUCAGCUAUACUGCGGUGAAUACGUUCCCGGGGCUUGU